GCGAGGGGGCAGCAAUGUCACCGUCGUACGGGUGCGUAACGCGUAUGCAACCUACCUAUCACUGGGGGAUAGCCCGGGGAAACCCGGAUUAAUACCGCAUAAUACAGGGGGCCCUCAUGGGUCUAUUUGUUAAAGAUUUAUCGGUGGUAGAUGGGCAUGCGUUCGAUUAGCUAGUUGGCAGGGUAACGGCCUACCAAGGCGACGAUCGAUAGGGGAGCUGAGAGGUUGAUCCCCCACACGGGCACUGAGAUACGGGCCCGACUCCUACGGGAGGCAGCAGUAGGGAAUAUUGGGCAAUGGAUGCAAGUCUGACCCAGCCAUGCCGCGUGCCGGAUGAAGGCCCUCAGGGUUGUAAACGGCUUUUAUUCGGGAAGAAGAGCAGGGAUGCGUCCUUGUGUGACGGUACCGAAUGAAUAAGCACCGGCUAACUCCGUGCCAGCAGCCGCGGUAAUACGGAGGGUGCGAGCGUUGUCCGGAUUUAUUGGGUUUAAAGGGUGCGUAGGUGGCUUUAUAAGUCAGUGGUGAAAUACAGCCGCUCAACGGUUGAGGUGCCAUUGAUACUGUAGAGCUUGAAACAAGUGGAGGCUGCCGGAAUGGAUGGUGUAGCGGUGAAAUGCAUAGAUAUCAUCCAGAACACCGAUUGCGAAGGCAGGUGGCUACGUUUGAUUUGACACUGAGGCACGAAAGCAUGGGGAGCAAACAGGAUUAGAUACCCUGGUAGUCCAU
RNAcentral lists this ribosomal RNA (726 nucleotides) under rhizosphere soil bacterium BEM-478. RNAcentral's name for it is "bacterial SSU rRNA". It matches the Rfam family "Bacterial small subunit ribosomal RNA", at positions 62 to 798 of the family's 1533-position model. The record is from RNAcentral.